AGCAACAGCAAGGUGCUUAGCAAGUCAGUGAGACCCUGUCUCUAAAUAAACUACAAAAAUAGGGCUGGGGAUGUGGCUCAGUGGUUAAAUGCUCCUAGUUUCAAUCCCUGGUACCUAAAAUAAAAUAAAUCAGGCAAAUGAAAACAAGGGGUUCCAAACUCCCCAGUCCUGCCGUCUCAAGUACCCAGGACAGGGUCCCCAGAAGAUUGACGCUAGCAGAGCCAUCUGCCACCUCCAGCAUCAGCACUCCACCCACGCCAAACCUGUCUUAAUGCCUCGGCUGCCACUCUGAGCUCUCCUCGUGUACCCAAGGUCAAUUUGCUCUAAUAUUUAUAAUUAUCUGUUCCCUCCCAUUUGAGCUGCUGCUGCUUUGGUUAUAAAAACACCCACCACCCCUCACGAGGUCAGAGGCUGGCAGAAAGAAGUUCAUUAGUCUUUAUGGCCUGUGUAAUAUCUCAUGUCAAGGCAGUGGGUGGACAGCCCCCACACACGGCAGCCUCCGAGAUGCUCGGCUGGCUGCAGGCGCUGACUGGAUUGAUUGCAUCCAUAAUGACUUGAUGGCUGCUCUCUGGAGUGGGACAUGUAAAUACCUCGACUCUCCAGUGGGAGGAGAAGGCUCUUUAUCAAAGAUGCAUCCUCAGAGAUCAGGAGAAUACAUUUUGCUGGAAAUGUUCUCAUCAGGUGGCAUCUCUUUCCCUCAAUACCUUAAACCCACCUUCCCUACAGCAGGCACCCACCUGUCCCAUAUUUUUGAAAUGGAUGGAUGAAUGAGUAGAACUGUGUCAAUCAAAUUUGCCCAGUAAUAAUGUUAGAGUUCGAAGUGAAACCCAGAGUUCCCACAAAUCUUUGAGUCCCAAAACUGAGUAUCAGUGAAGAUCUUCAAUAUUCAGGACAAAAUCCCAAGAUCCUGUGCCCCUAAGUGAUAUCCAGAAUAUAAUAUUUCUCCAUUCUAAUAAGUAACUAAGUACCGGGGGUAGGACUGCUUCUCACCAAUAUGGUACCUUCUUGCAAAUAGGAAAAGGUUUCCGCUCUGCCCAUUGGACACAGUCACACAACAGGGUGUUUGGGGUCCUGAGCAGAGGGCCAGCUGGAUCUUGGUCCCUGCUGACUUCUCAGCUGGGCACCUUUGAACAGUAAACAACCUGCAGGAUUGUUUACUGUUUACUGUUUACCUAGGGACACAGUUUGUCCCUGAGGAAGGCCCUGAGCUUUCUUGACCUCCAUGUGUCUCACCUCAUCUAAAGCUGUGCCUGGCUCCCUACGGGAAGAAGGAAGAGGGGAGGAGAAGAAAUACCCAACAUCCUUGGGAACAUCACAAGUGGAACUUUGUGAAGGAACAGGACAAGAAAAGCCCAACAGCCUAUUGCUCGGUCUGGUGUAGGAAAAUAAAGCAAAAUGAAAUAGAGUCCAAUUAGUUUGCUUCAACAAUAUUAAAUUCCAGAGGAAAACGGGAAGAAAGCCCUGCUGACAUUACCUGGAGCUGCAGAGAGGGGCCAGGCAAUUACAUUAGAACAGAUAGAAGGUUGUGAGUUGCCAAACGAAGAAGCAAUCACAGAGAUAAAAGCAGGCGCUUUCCCCAAACUGAAAACAUAACUAAAUCAUUCAUCAACUUCCCAAACAGCACCCAGGCACCUGAUCUGGAGACAAAUAAAGGGGUUGUUUUUUUUAAAUGGCAUUAUCUCCAAUAGCCUGAUUCCUUUGCCUCCAGCUAAUUUGGAUUAAUC
Molecule: long non-coding RNA, 1724 nt
Filed under: Marmota monax (woodchuck)
Lineage: Eukaryota; Metazoa; Chordata; Mammalia; Rodentia; Sciuridae
Source: RNAcentral